AUUACACCUUAAGCCUAUUGAAAAUAUGUUAUUCGUUGAAUUUGAAUUUGUGGUUCACCUGUACCCACUAAACCCACAAAAAUUGGUAUCCGAUGGAUAAUAAUGAAUCAACAGCAAGGGAAAUACAAAAAAACUACUAAUGCACAAUGUAAACAUAGAAAUACAUAAUAAAUAAAGAGCAGAGAUGACAAAGCAGAAAGAAACAGAUCAAAACAAGUUAGGAAGGAACACACUGAAAAUUAAGUAGGAAUAUGCAAAUUAACACAUUUUAAGAACACAACUGAAAAAGGGUUGAAUACAUUAAGAAUGCAUAAAAAAAAAUCUGAAUAUGUAAAUGAAGUAGAUAGGAACACACAAAGAAAAAGACCAC
RNAcentral lists this long non-coding RNA (370 nucleotides) under Mytilus galloprovincialis (Mediterranean mussel). Lineage: Eukaryota; Metazoa; Mollusca; Bivalvia; Mytilida; Mytilidae. The record is from RNAcentral.